Molecule: long non-coding RNA, 1536 nt
Organism: Podarcis raffonei (Aeolian wall lizard)
Lineage: Eukaryota; Metazoa; Chordata; Lepidosauria; Squamata; Lacertidae
Exons: 3
Source: RefSeq, a predicted model, not a curated record
UAACUUACUGAUCUCGCCAGGGAUCCAUUUGGGAAGAUGUGCCUUCCCUAACAGCAGCCCAAGACGUCGUAAUCCGCACUAACUGCCUUGUCCCACUGUCCCAGCAUUAAACAGCUCCAGCAGCUGCGAUGGUGGACAGUUAAGAUUAUAUAUGAUGUAAAUAUAUUGUGGGUAUGUCAGCUCCCCCAAACCAUAAAACUUAGUUUAAUGACAUCACGUGCUCACCGAGAGCCAUUCAGGGCUUUUGCUUUGGGCUAUCCACAUAAAUAACCUUCAAAAGUUUUAAACUACUAAAUUCACUUAGAAGCCAUGGGUAUUUCUGCUAAUGUUCUCAGGGAUAGUCAAAGUCUUGGCUCAAAAAGUCCUGGAUUAUUAUUACCAUUGUUGUUAUUUUUCAUCCUCUCUUUUAAAGCACACACACGCACACACGCACUGGAACUUUGGGUCUGUCAUUUUUCCCCCCUUCCCUCGCCCUCCCUUUCUGGUUAAGCGGCCUUUUAAAAGUCCCCACUGUGUUGACACGGAUGACAGUGAAAGGAUGAAGAGGCAAAUUAGUCUUGGAUCUGUGUAGAUGGAGCUUAUGUGUUUCUCGUGCAACGCAUGCAUUUCAAAAAUAUCUUGGUGGAGCCCCCGCUUUCCAGCACUGGAAACCUUCCGGCCUCCUAUAAACGGAACUUCACGUUGGUCAAUCAUUUUCAAGUAACUACGUUGCUUCUGUAUCUGUCCGCACCCCACGCCCCGCACCGCCACUACAGUUCUAUAAGUUAAGUCUUGGCCAAUUAAAGAGUUCCCCCCCCCUCCGAAUCAGCAAAGGUCCAAGGUAACGGGGUUAGGAGGCAGCGGCAGAAACUGACAGCUUGUCCAACUUAGAAGUUAUUUCGAAUUUUCCUUUUCUUUAUCCCUGUUUAUUCCCUGUAAUAUUCAAUGGGAUUUUUGAAACUAUGUGAUGUGUCCCUAUGCUGACAGUACAGGAGGUAAAGAUAUUAUUGGGUGAUUGGGCCAAUUAAGAGCCUCUCCCCCCCCCUCCUUCCCCGAGUUUUCUUCUCCGCUUGCUACUGUGUAAUGUCUAUUACGGUCGGAUAGCCCUGCAAACUUCACCAAAGGAUGUUCAGUUUAGAGAACUUUUAUGGUUGACUUGGAUUACUCCGUUUUAUGGCACGGAAAUGUUCCCUACAAUGACCCCCUCCCUCCUUCCUUUUUGACAUUCAAGAGAGUUGCGGUCGUGACGUCACGUCGAGUUGUCAUGGAGAAUAGCUACCGGCUUAAAAAUUAUAAAGCGUGAUAUUAUAGAGCAACAUAAAAUAUGGAUAUAAGCAACUACUUACGCCCGCGAAGAGAUUAAACAAAGAAGAAUACGAUUUUAAUACGUUCAGGAAGAAUAAUUCAAUGAUGAGGAAUGGUUGUCAUUAUCUAUGAGUUCUUAUUUCAUUUUAUUGUUUGCACAUGGGGGUGGGGGAGAAGGAAAAAUUAAUCUCAGGACGCCAGGAAGAAGAAGAACAAGAAGGGGGAGAAGAAAAUAAAAUAAAUAAUAAGCCA